CGCCGUCGCCGCCCUUGAGCUCGCCGCCGAAGUCGUAGAGGCUCCGCAGCGCCGACAUGUCGUAGGCCUCCGUGUCCUGCUCGCCGCCGCCCUCGUCGUUGUAUUUGAUGACAUUGUCCCGCAUGUCCUCGUCCUCGUCCGAGCUCAGGUGGCUCUUGUGGUGGCGCCUGAGGAAGUCCCGAGCACCUGCAUUUGAGACCCCUUGAGUCUCGGGUCAAGAUGUCCUCUGCAAAAGCCCCCACCCUGAGAGCUCCAGGCCAGGUUCCGAGCCUUCACCUCCAAGCUCCCCUGGACUGGAUGGCGCCAGAGCUGUCACAGCCACAGAUGCGGAUGGUGAGCGUGCCCGUGCUGCUCAGCGUGGGCGGCCCGCUGUCCACCACCAGGAUGGGCAAGAAGAACACGUCCUGCUCCUGCCGGUUGAAGCCCAAGUGCUGAGUGUGCACCGCUGCUGUGUUGUCUGCUCCGGAAAAAAGGGAGUGGCGUGUGACUUGGGGUCCCGGGUCAGCCUCCCCUGGCCUGGCCACCUCCUGAUGCCACCUUGGGACUUGUCUCCCUCUGCCCCAAGCUCCUGUCUCCCAGGGGACCCGUGGAUCUACUCCUCGAUCUCCCCAAAUUCUGCCCCCACCUGCCCUGACAAUCCUGUUCCCAGCCAUGUAGCCCAUCGUUCCGUCCUUAGCUGUCACAAGAUUCUACUCCCAGCUGUCUCAAGAUUCUGUUUUCAGCUAUUCCAAGGUUUUGUCCCCAGCUGCGCCAAGGUCCUGUCCCCAGCUUUUUCAAGAUUCUGUCCCCAGCUGGGCCAAGGUCCUGUCUGGGGCUAUGUUAAUUUUUUUCCCUCAUACAUCUCAACAGCCUGUUUUUCUUCCACCCCAGCCACCCAGUGUUCCCUGACCCUGGGGUCCUGGGGUCCUUGGGUUGUGGCUUACUGUGUCCUGACAAGUCCUGGGUCACAGAGAAGACUGAGAUGUCUUCUCUGGCACCUGGCUCUGGCUGAGGGAGCUUUCUUAAGAGACUGAUACUGGAGGGCUGAGGGCAUAGUCCCUGGGGCCUGAUGAGGGGACCCUGGCGCACCAGGGUCUUCUUCCUACACGUGUGACCAGAGAGGACAGUGAACUAACACAAGUCAUGCUCAUUACACCACUUCAGCCAGUUUCUGGGAAUGCCAGGCAGGCCUCAGUGGGACUCUGGUCUCAGGGCAUGGGCUUAUGUGCUAGGCAGUGCCCACUUCCCCCGCCCUUCCUGCCUCUCUUGUAUAGGUCAGGCCAUCCCUGAACCUCCACCAUUUUGAUGCCUGUCAAUGUGGUGGCACAGACUCGGGGCCCAGCUGGCUGCUGCCCCCACCCCUCACAGCCAGCUCCACACAAGGGGCCCUGCCUCCCUGUGGGGAGCCCGGGCUUCCCUCCAGAGUCCUUCUCCUGCCCUCACAGCCUUCCUUCCGGCUAGUCUCUCUGACCUCCAGCUUUGGCAUUCUGGGUCCCCUCCCCAGCUCUGGGGUCCCAGUUACUCCAAUUCAUUCCUUAGUCCUGGCUUCCCCCAAUCAUGGACAUGAUGCAGGAGGAAAGAGCUGACUUGUGACCUUGAACACAUCUGUGAAGUGAACUAGAGGUCCAGCUCAAACAAGACUGCUCAUGGGUUUUAGCUCAUGUGAUGGUAUCAUGAGGUUUUGUGACAUUAUUCUAUCUACUUUUACACACAUUUGAAAAUUUCCAUUAAAAUA
Canis lupus familiaris (dog) is the source of this 1714-nucleotide long non-coding RNA. RefSeq lists it as uncharacterized. The record is from RefSeq and is a predicted model, not a curated record. Lineage: Eukaryota; Metazoa; Chordata; Mammalia; Carnivora; Canidae. The transcript is spliced from 3 exons.